AUUAGGCGCACCUUGGCACCACCUGACACAUUGUACACCAGCCCCAACCCCUGCCAGAACUCUGGCUGAAGUAAGAAGUGAUUUACUCACAUCCAAUUCGAAUUCAAAUUCUGACAUCCCUCCCGUCUGAUCAUGUGGAGGAGACUCCCAUCCUCAGAUGAUAGGGACACUAGAGUAGCACCAUGGGCUAGAAGGGCUAGGAGACCAUGGGAAAGACUGGGUUGUUCUGGCCCAUUGUUUGUCCUAAUUAUAGUCAAUGUUGUUUUGACAUUGGGAGUAAUGAUAUGGGAAGCCCAGGUGGCGGUUAUGGUACUCAUGCAAUCAGUUGGUCUAGAUCAGUGUGGUACAUGACAGAAGGGGGGUAUAAUAAAUGGACGUGGAAGAAUUUAGUGGCAGAGACUGGUCCUGACUGGUCUAGCUGGACAGUGCAUCAGAUGGCACUCCUGUGGCGGAGCAGGUUGACGUUAACUAAAGUUACAACUGGUUUGAAAUUGGUAAUCAAACACAGGGAAGGUGGUAUGACUUAUGACCUCCAUUGUAACUUUCCUUUGUGGUCUGAUCAGCCUCAUUGGAAAGCCAUUUGGAUGGAGAAUCUAGGGUAAUUUGUAAUACUGAUAUUAAGGUAAUUUAAUACAAAAAUGCAGUGAAAUUUACAUUAUAGUGUCAAUAUAUUUUCUCUGAUGAACGUGGUGUGAAAAUUUAGCUAGGAUAAGUUUUAUUUAUGGUAGACUCAUGUUAAGUAUUUGGGACAUAUUUUGAGCAAACAGGGCAGGGAAGAAAUUGAGAUAUUUGUGUUUGGUUUUAACACCUGUAUAUAGGGGGUGCCAUUUGAAUAUUUAAUUUGUGGUCAUGGGUAAUACGGUUUGUUUUUGUUUUUAUUUUUUAAGGUAAAUUAAUUAUAGUGGGGUUUAAUUAACCUAUAUAAGGACUUUAGAAAGUGCCACCAUAGACAUGUUUUUCUAAAAAAAAAAAUCCAUGAGUUUAGAUAAAGCCAAACAGUGAGACAUUUAGUUCAAAUUUGGAAACAUGAGAAAACGAGCUACAGACAGAUAAGGGGAAAAGGCAGACAGAAGAGCCCUCCCCUGCACUGCAGAGACCUUGAAGGUUGGAGAGCAGAGAGGAUAAGUUUUAAAAGGGAGCCAGGACGAGCAAAGAUAACAGAAUGUGUAGAUAACAGUUACUGAGUGGAGACAAAAGGGAGAAUUGGACAUGUGGAAAAUGAAAGGGGCGCUCCUACAUGAUAAUGUCAGAACAGAAGGAUAAUAUACUAAUCUUACCUAAGUCAUUAUUUAGAGUAGGUAAGGUUGUUACCUGGGCAGAGCCAGGUAUCAAAAGGGGGAUGGGUAAAUUGUGGUCUAGGAUAGGAUGGGGCCUAUUGGAUAAGAAACUAAAUAUAUAAUCAGAUAAAACAUAUGAGAAACUGUUUGUUAACCAAGCCUGUAUGUCCAGGAUUUUAUGCAUUACAGGUGAACUACAGGUGAAGUCACUCAAUCCAGUCCCAGAGGCUUGUUGGGGGGACCAUACAAGGACUCCUGGUGACAGCUAGCUGAAAGAGCUACCCGGAUUCAUAUCGCACGGGGGAGGGUAGGACACAUGACACUGUCGAACAAAAAACAGUGUUCGAGAGGAGAACUGGAAUUAACAGAAUUCCGGGGGCCAUCUCUCGAAUGAAGUAACCCUCCCUGUCCUGUCACCCCUGUUUUUGUUCAUAGAAGUGAAGAUGUGUCUGGCUCUUGCUAGUGAUGUGUUCUCUGGGAGAGGGUGGGGCUUUACAGGAGUGUCAGUGUACCUGUGUAAUGGGGGAGGGUGUCCAUAUGGGGAUUACAUGAUAACCAACUUGGGACAAUUCUAGGAUUGGAGAAGAGGGUAUUCUUAUAGCAUAGGGGAUCCCACAAAGGUGGAUAGGUUUUCCAACAUAUGGGGAAAACCUGGUAGCACUGUUGAACUUUGUAAAGGUGAUGAAAUCCUACUAACCAU
Molecule: long non-coding RNA, 1977 nt
Filed under: Oncorhynchus mykiss (rainbow trout)
Lineage: Eukaryota; Metazoa; Chordata; Actinopteri; Salmoniformes; Salmonidae
Description: lncRNA (ENSOMYG00000076622.1)
Source: RNAcentral